GUCUUCUGCUGAGCCUGUUUCCUCUGUUUCCUGCUUCUGUGAGGUCAGUGCUGACACCAGUGACACAACUGGAGAGAAAGUCCAGUUUGGUCGAACAUAUGCACCUGCGGAAUUGUAAUGGACUUAGUUGGACCAUUUAUGUGCAUUAUGAUGACACAUGGAAAUAACAGUGGCAAAACCAGAGCCAUUAAAUGUACUGCCCAGGGCUGAAGAGGUGUGAGGAAAGCCCAGAUGUUGGGCUCCAAGCUCAGCUGACCGGGGCUGACACUGACCUGCGUACUGAGAAGGAUUCUUGGUAUUUACAAAGCUUUCCCAGAGGCUGCUAGUAUCGGAAUGUCUUCCAACACUGCUACUGUCAC
Long non-coding RNA from Grus americana (Whooping crane), 359 nucleotides. RefSeq lists it as uncharacterized. The transcript is spliced from 3 exons. NCBI's taxonomy places the organism in Eukaryota, Metazoa, Chordata, Aves, Gruiformes, Gruidae. The record is from RefSeq and is a predicted model, not a curated record.